RNAcentral lists this ribosomal RNA (492 nucleotides) under uncultured bacterium. RNAcentral's name for it is "partial 16S ribosomal RNA". It matches the Rfam family "Bacterial small subunit ribosomal RNA", at positions 29 to 507 of the family's 1533-position model. The record is from RNAcentral.
AGUGAACGCUGGCGGCAUGCCUAACACAUGCAAGUCGAACGGCAGCACAGUAAGAGCUUGCUCUUACGGGUGGCGCGUGGCGGAAGGGUGAGGAAUACAUCGGAUAACACUUUUACGUGGGGGAUAACGUAGGGCAACUUCUGCUAAUACAGAAUAUGUCGUACGGGUGUAAGCAGGGGUUAUUCGGACCUUGCGUGAUUGUAAGAGCCGAUGUCGGAUUAGAUAGUUGGCGGGGUAAAGGCACACCAAGGCGACGCUACGUAGCUGGUCUGAGAGGAUGAUCAGCCACACUGGAACUGAGACACGGUCCAGACUCCUACGGGAGGCAGCAGUGGGGAAUAUUGGACAAUGGGCGCAAGCCUGAUCCAGCCAUACCGCGUGAGUGAAGAAGGCCUUCUGGUUGUAAAGCCCUUUUGUUGGGAAAGAAAAACAGCAGGUUAAUACCCCGCUGUUCUGACGGUACCCAAAGAAUAAGCACCGGCUAACUUCGUG